RNAcentral lists this long non-coding RNA (1147 nucleotides) under Ananas comosus (pineapple). RNAcentral describes it as "long non-coding RNA (ACOM_LNC014224)". Lineage: Eukaryota; Viridiplantae; Streptophyta; Magnoliopsida; Poales; Bromeliaceae. The record is from RNAcentral.
AUCCAAAUUGACUCGAUCAUUUUUCCACCAUAAAUAUUACUGAUGCAUUCAAAAAAACGGGUGCCUAAAUUUUAGAAAAAACUUUAAAAAUUCACCCAUAUGGUUUCGUAAUUUUUCACUUUAGUACUCUGUGGUUUAAAGUAUAUCCAUUUGCCCCCCUGUGAUUUUAUUUUUAUCUCUUCGGCAGUUUUUUUCUUAAUAUUUCGUUAAAUUAUAUACAAAAAACUUCAUAUACCCAUCUAGAUUUAUCGAAUAUUUACUUUAGUACUCUUUAAUUUUAACUUUGUCACUGAUUUAAAAAAUAAUAAUAAUAAAAUUGAUAAUAAAAAGAGAAAAACGAAACCACAAGGGGGCAAAUUAAUACACUUUAAACCACAAGGUACUAAAGUGAGAAAGUGUGAAACCAUAUGGGAGGUUUUUGAAAUUUUUUUAAAAUUUUAUAUUCUUUAUUUUAAAAAAAAUUUAAAAAAUUAAUAUUUUUGGACUAAUUCUAAUUUUUUUAUAUAAUUUGUACUAAUUCUUUUUUACUUUUAUUUUUAUUUUUGGACUGUUAAUUAGAUCUCUUCGAGGGCACUAAUGAGUAGUUCUAGUGUGAAAUAUUGUACCUUAAUUGCAUGGGCCCUUUGAAUCUAUUUUCCUGCACCAAACAAAAUUGUCCCUAUCAUUGUGAUGGCUGAGAACUUGUAAUUUGGUUCAUUCCAUUGUCCUGUUUAAUUAGUCCCAUGUUUAAUUGAUCGAAAUAAUACUAAAUAAUAUUUUAAUUAACACUUUUUUAUUUCAUAUUUUGAUACACUAAUUGAAGAAAAAUGGUUACUCGUGCAUCUUAGGCUUAGUUUGGUAUUAAGGCAUAUCUAACGUUAUUAGAUAAAAUGAAGUUGAGGAAAAAGUAUAUAGAAAUAUGCUUCUACGUUCACCGAUGGGACCAUAGAAAAUAUAUAUCGUAACCGCCACAUCGCGAUAUGCAGAACGCAAUAUUACGUAAAUAUUUUUCUAACGUACUUUAUCACCGCACGUAACACAAUCUUCCCGCAAUUCCAAACGAAGCCUAGUCUAUACGGAUGUAAAUCUUAUAUUUCUUCUAUUCAAAAAUUCACAACUCUUUAAAUUAAAAAAAUAAAAUUAGUAAAAUCAAAAACAGCCUUUAGAU